AUACGGAGGAUCCGAGCGUUAUCCGGAUUUAUUGGGUUUAAAGGGAGCGUAGGCGGACGCUUAAGUCAGUUGUGAAAGUUUGCGGCUCAACCGUAAAAUUGCAGUUGAUACUGGGUGUCUUGAGUACAGUAGAGGCAGGCGGGAUUUGUGGGGUAGGGGUGAAAUGCUUAGAUAUCACGAAGAACUCCGAUUGCGAAGGCAGCCUGCUGGACUGUAACUGACGCUGAUGCUCGAAAGUGUGGGUAUCAAACAGGAUUAGAUACCCUGGUAGUCCACACAGUAAACGAUGAAUACUCGCUGUUUGCGAUAUACAGUAAGCGGCCAAGCGAAAGCGUUAAGUAUUCCACCUGGGGAGUACGCCGGCAACGGUGAAACUCAAAGGAAUUGGCGGGG
Molecule: ribosomal RNA, 393 nt
Filed under: uncultured bacterium
Lineage: Bacteria
Description: partial 16S ribosomal RNA
Rfam family: Bacterial small subunit ribosomal RNA
Source: RNAcentral